CGUCCCGUAGCUCAAUAGCAGAGCACUCGCCCGAUAAGCGAGAGACCGCGGAGCGUUACCGCGCGGGACGACCA
Molecule: transfer RNA, 74 nt
Filed under: Verrucomicrobiota bacterium
Lineage: Bacteria; Pseudomonadati; Verrucomicrobiota
Description: tRNA-Ile
Rfam family: tRNA
About the family: Transfer RNA (tRNA) molecules are approximately 80 nucleotides in length. Their secondary structure includes four short double-helical elements and three loops (D, anti-codon, and T loops).
Source: RNAcentral